UCGUGGAGGAUGGAAGGUUUUAGGAUUGUAAACUCCUUUUGUGAGAGAAGAAUAAUGACGGUAUCUCACGAAUAAGCACCGGCUAACUCCGUGCCAGCAGCCGCGGUAAUACGGAGGGUGCAAGCGUUACUCGGAAUCACUGGGCGUAAAGAGUGCGUAGGCGGGGUUGUAAGUCAGGUGUGAAAUCCUAUGGCUUAACCAUAGAACUGCAUUUGAAACUACAACCC
RNAcentral lists this ribosomal RNA (227 nucleotides) under Helicobacter heilmannii. Its description in RNAcentral is "partial 16S ribosomal RNA". It matches the Rfam family "Bacterial small subunit ribosomal RNA", at positions 399 to 641 of the family's 1533-position model. The record is from RNAcentral. Lineage: Bacteria; Pseudomonadati; Campylobacterota; Epsilonproteobacteria; Campylobacterales; Helicobacteraceae.